Molecule: ribosomal RNA, 506 nt
Filed under: uncultured bacterium
Lineage: Bacteria
Description: partial 16S ribosomal RNA
Rfam family: Bacterial small subunit ribosomal RNA
Source: RNAcentral
AUUGAACGCUGGCGGCAGGCCUAACACAUGCAAGUCGAACGGCAGCACAGAAGAGCUUGCUCUUUGGGUGGCGAGUGGCGGACGGGUGAGUAAUGUCUGGGAAACUGCCCGAUGGAGGGGGAUAACUACUGGAAACGGUAGCUAAUACCGCAUAACGUCGCAAGACCAAAGUGGGGGACCUUCGGGCCUCACACCAUCGGAUGUGCCCAGAUGGGAUUAGCUAGUAGGUGGGGUAAUGGCUCACCUAGGCGACGAUCCCUAGCUGGUCUGAGAGGAGGACCAGCCACACUGGAACUGAGACACGGUCCAGACUCCUAGGGGAGGCGGCAGUGGGGAAUAGUGCACAAUGGGCGCAAGCCUGAUGCAGCCAUGCCGCGUGUAUGAAGAGGGCCUUCGGGUUGUAAAGUACUUUCAGCGGGGAGGAAGGCGGUGAGGUUAAUAACCUUGCCGAUUGACGUUACCCGCAGAAGAAGCACCGGCUAACUCCGUGCCAGCAGCCGCAGUAA